This 632-nucleotide ribosomal RNA is filed under the name Cronobacter sakazakii. RNAcentral describes it as "partial 23S ribosomal RNA". It matches the Rfam family "Bacterial large subunit ribosomal RNA", at positions 1 to 666 of the family's 2925-position model. Lineage: Bacteria; Pseudomonadati; Pseudomonadota; Gammaproteobacteria; Enterobacterales; Enterobacteriaceae. The record is from RNAcentral.
GGGUUGUGAGGUUAAGCGAACAAGCGUACACGGUGGAUGCCCUGGCAGUCAGAGGCGAUGAAGGACGUGCUAAUCUGCGAAAAGCGCCGGUAAGGUGAUAUGAACCGUUAUAACCGGCGAUGUCCGAAUGGGGAAACCCGGUGCACUUCGGUGCAUCAUCGUUAGCUGAAUACAUAGGCUAACGAGGCGAACCGGGGGAACUGAAACAUCUAAGUACCCCGAGGAAAAGAAAUCAACCGAGAUUCCCCCAGUAGCGGCGAGCGAACGGGGAACAGCCCAGAGCCUGAAUCAGCUUGUGUGUCAGUGGAACGGUCUGGAAAGGCCGGCGAUACAGGGUGACAGCCCCGUACACGAAGGCACACAGGCUGUGAGCUCGAUGAGUAGGGCGGGACACGUGAUAUCCUGUCUGAAGAUGGGGGGACCAUCCUCCAAGGCUAAAUACUCCUGACUGACCGAUAGUGAACCAGUACCGUGAGGGAAAGGCGAAAAGAACCCCGGCGAGGGGAGUGAAACAGAACCUGAAACCGUGUACGUACAAGCAGUGGGAGCCUUCGUAAGAGGGUGACUGCGUACCUUUUGUAUAAUGGGUCAGCGACUUAUAUUCUGUAGCAAGGUUAACCGUAUAGGGGAGC